This 412-nucleotide ribosomal RNA is filed under the name uncultured Rhizophagus. Its description in RNAcentral is "partial 28S ribosomal RNA". The record is from RNAcentral. Lineage: Eukaryota; Fungi; Glomeromycota; Glomeromycetes; Glomerales; Glomeraceae.
GAGAGUUAAACAGUACGUGAAAUUGUUGAAAGGGAAACGAUUGAAGCCAGUCAUACCUUCGGGUAAUCAGCCUUUCGGGUGCGAUUCUGUGGGGUGUGAAGAGUUAAACGCCUUCACGUUUUGCAUAUUCGUGCUCUUGGGUGUACUUGCCCGUGUGGUUGGUUAACAUCAAUUUUGGACGCCAUAAAAUGGCUGGAGGAAUGUAGCUUCGAUCUCGUAUUGAAGUGUUAUAGCCUUCGGUAGAUGUGGUUUUCGAGAUUGAGGAUUGCAACGGAUACCCUUCGGGGCUACCUAUCUGAUCUCUGAUCGUUGCUCUGGUGCCGAAAGCUUGCUUACGGUUAUCAAAGUCGAUGGUCAAUAUGUUAGAAUGGGUUAAAUUCGUUAAGGAUGUUGACGUAAUGGCUUUAAACGA